Molecule: ribosomal RNA, 1366 nt
Filed under: Curtobacterium sp. F14
Lineage: Bacteria; Bacillati; Actinomycetota; Actinomycetes; Micrococcales; Microbacteriaceae
Description: bacterial SSU rRNA
Rfam family: Bacterial small subunit ribosomal RNA
Source: RNAcentral
UCGAACGAUGAUGCCCAGCUUGCUGGGUGGAUUAGUGGCGAACGGGUGAGUAACACGUGAGUAACCUGCCCCUGACUCUGGGAUAAGCGUUGGAAACGACGUCUAAUACUGGAUAUGACUGCCGGCCGCAUGGUCUGGUGGUGGAAAGAUUUUUUGGUUGGGGAUGGACUCGCGGCCUAUCAGCUUGUUGGUGAGGUAAUGGCUCACCAAGGCGACGACGGGUAGCCGGCCUGAGAGGGUGACCGGCCACACUGGGACUGAGACACGGCCCAGACUCCUACGGGAGGCAGCAGUGGGGAAUAUUGCACAAUGGGCGAAAGCCUGAUGCAGCAACGCCGCGUGAGGGAUGACGGCCUUCGGGUUGUAAACCUCUUUUAGUAGGGAAGAAGCGUAAGUGACGGUACCUGCAGAAAAAGCACCGGCUAACUACGUGCCAGCAGCCGCGGUAAUACGUAGGGUGCAAGCGUUGUCCGGAAUUAUUGGGCGUAAAGAGCUCGUAGGCGGUUUGUCGCGUCUGCUGUGAAAUCCCGAGGCUCAACCUCGGGCUUGCAGUGGGUACGGGCAGACUAGAGUGCGGUAGGGGAGAUUGGAAUUCCUGGUGUAGCGGUGGAAUGCGCAGAUAUCAGGAGGAACACCGAUGGCGAAGGCAGAUCUCUGGGCCGUAACUGACGCUGAGGAGCGAAAGCGUGGGGAGCGAACAGGAUUAGAUACCCUGGUAGUCCACGCCGUAAACGUUGGGCGCUAGAUGUAGGGACCUUUCCACGGUUUCUGUGUCGUAGCUAACGCAUUAAGCGCCCCGCCUGGGGAGUACGGCCGCAAGGCUAAAACUCAAAGGAAUUGACGGGGGCCCGCACAAGCGGCGGAGCAUGCGGAUUAAUUCGAUGCAACGCGAAGAACCUUACCAAGGCUUGACAUACACCGGAAACGGCCAGAGAUGGUUGCCCCCUUGUGGUCGGUGUACAGGUGGUGCAUGGUUGUCGUCAGCUCGUGUCGUGAGAUGUUGGGUUAAGUCCCGCAACGAGCGCAACCCUCGUUCUAUGUUGCCAGCGCGUUAUGGCGGGGACUCAUAGGAGACUGCCGGGGUCAACUCGGAGGAAGGUGGGGAUGACGUCAAAUCAUCAUGCCCCUUAUGUCUUGGGCUUCACGCAUGCUACAAUGGCCGGUACAAAGGGCUGCGAUACCGUAAGGUGGAGCGAAUCCCAAAAAGCCGGUCUCAGUUCGGAUUGAGGUCUGCAACUCGACCUCAUGAAGUCGGAGUCGCUAGUAAUCGCAGAUCAGCAACGCUGCGGUGAAUACGUUCCCGGGCCUUGUACACACCGCCCGUCAAGUCAUGAAAGUCGGUAACACCCGAAGCCGGUGGCCUAAC